UACAGAGGGUGCGAGCGUUGUUCGGAAUUAUUGGGCGUAAAGAGCGUGUAGGCGGACUGGAAGGUCUGGUGUGAAAGCCCGGGGCUCAACCCCGGAGGGUCACCGGAAACCGACAGUCUUGAAUCUGGAAGAGGUGAGUGGAAUUCCCAGUGUAGAGGUGAAAUUCGUAGAUAUUGGGAAGAACACCGGUGGCGAAGGCGGCUCACUGGCUCAUUACUGACGCUCAGGCGCGAUAGCGUGGGGAUCAAACAGG
This 253-nucleotide ribosomal RNA is filed under the name uncultured bacterium. RNAcentral describes it as "partial 16S ribosomal RNA". It matches the Rfam family "Bacterial small subunit ribosomal RNA", at positions 524 to 776 of the family's 1533-position model. The record is from RNAcentral.